GGAGAGAGUCCAGGGAAGGGUAAAUCAAGAAACCAGAAGAUCUGAGGAGGCAGAUUGGGAUCUGGCAGGAGAGGGUUCUGCUGCAUGUUUUGGUCAUGACUUAGGGAAGGCACAGUCACCGAGUGAUGGAUCUGCACCAAGACUUGCCUCGGUCUUUUCUGCAUAAGAACGUGCGGAAGAAUGAUGGUUGGUGCAAGGGGAAGCCAUGGAAAGCCAUGAGUGCCUGUUCAGAAAUCCAGUGGGAAAGAUGAUUCAUGCCAUGUAGUGACACAAGGGCACAAGUGCUGCACUUCAGUCGCUCCACUGAAUUCUAUGGGAUUUUCUGUCUGCUGGAUCACUGUUUUGUUUUUAGGGCAUGUAAAAAUUACUUUGACAUUGGCUUUUGCCAGCAGAGGAGUCCGUUAAAUACAAUCAAUCUCUUAGCUCAUGUCAGGAAGACAGCGAUAGAGAAGAUGACUCUUACUAAAGCUUCAGGUAGAUGCUGUGCAUCAGACUGGUGAGCAAGAUUAAAUCUCUGAAGGCUCUGGCUGUCUCAAUCUCCAUUGAAGUUGCUGGGAUCUGAAGACACAACUUUCUUAUUACGGUGCUGUUUGCUAUAAGUGUUAAUAUGGUCAAAGGAAGACUACCCACCAAAGACUGUACACAAGAACUCCUUUGAAAUAACCAAAGUGGAGCUGGUAGGACUGAGUUUGAAGUCUGACUCAGACUGUUAAAAAACAGAAGAGCCCACCCCAGAGCAGUUCCUUAUGGCAAUUAAAAAAUAACUCCAGUAAGCAGGCACAGCCAUUGUGGAAAGCCACUGUAGCCCUUAUACUGGCCCCUGAAACAUCAUGGGACAACACAGCAAGGUUUCAAGAUACUCAGGCCUCUCAUUCAUAGACAAGAGUUUAAAAUUCUACAAUGAAGAGAAACAGAGCCAGAAGACUCCUCUCAGUCAUGGAAAACACACUCUGCAACAGCUCAACACAAGCAUAGAUGAUAGCGAGGGAUCUCGCUGUGCACAAGCAGAAUGCCGCAGUUAAUUUAUCCCAUGGAGGAAAUCACGCUGUGCUCUCAGACAGCUCCAGACAUGGAUCCGGACUCAGACUGAUCUCACCAGAAACUCUCAACCCCCUGUGACUGCUAUGGCACAUAUUGUUCCUGAAAGUAAAAUUCUGGUUAGUUGCAAUGAAACAGAUUUACUCUGUUCAGUUGCCAUGACGAGCUAAACAAUUCAGUUUUUCUUACCAAGCCUCUUUCUUGUUAAAAAAAUAAACGUCUCUGACCCACUUCUCUGCCAGACCUAGAGAGAGAAAAGCACCAUCUUCUGCUGCUAGAUUAAGCACAGGCACUUUCUUAUAGCAAUAACUUAUUUUUAACUCUUCAGCUUAAAACAACACUGCUGUUUAUGAGGUCUGAUUCACAGAUUGACAUAGUGCUACAUCAUGUAUGUGUAUGCUGCAGCCUCCAAAGAUCAUUCCUUCCAACUGCGUGGCUAAUGGCCCCAGAAGCCUGCAUUAUUAAGACAAUAAAUAUUCAUGUUUGAAAGUAAUACUCAAUCUACUGCUAGACCACCAGGGGAAGAACAUUUCUUAAACAUGCAGUAGUCCAGCUCUCAUGAUUUGCUAGAGCCAAAGAAAACUCAGAUCUUAACAACCCUAAAAACAAACCUCAGUGAGAUCUCUCUGAACAGGCAAGGCUGCAGGAGUCACGUGGGUCCUGACUCAGGCUUUCCUCAAUCCCAUCAAAAUGUCAUGGAAAACAAUCUCCAGUUCUGCAAGCAUGGAAUGAGCUAUAUUUUCAAAUAACUUAAAGGCAAACACACUAUACCCAAAAUAUAUUCAUAUGUAUGUUUUUAUGAUACAGAACAACAUAAAACUACUACCAGGAUAUAGUAUAUCUAUGUAUCAUAGAUCCCAAGGCAGCACAGCUAUGGGUCUUCCUGUUCUAUCACACCUUUAAGACAAAUUAUCGACCUCAGAAUCAUAUUGGUGUCAUUUUACUGAAUCAUCCCAUUUCCAAGAAAACAUAUUGCAUUUCCUCUGCACUGUGCACACUGAAUACAUGUGCUCAAGUUUUCCCUCCCUCUCAUGUUUCAUGACCUUGGGAUUACCUAGCAGUGCUUCCAUCUCAACAUUUGGAGAGACCAGGAGCAUCCUAUGUUGCAAACACAAAUCUUGAUUGGUACCUUACAAAAGACAUGAUUAAAAGAAGGUUCAAAAGUUUGGGAAACAGUCGGUUUGACUCCAAAUUUUAUGGGCAUUGUCACUGCAUGAUUCAUACUGCCUAGCAAACGACCAGCAGUAGUGUUACUGCAGAGAGCAUCAAAACAAUGUUAGGUAAUCUUUCAAGUCAACAAUGUAGUGCUAAAUCAGCGUGACAGAAAAACUCUAGAUCUUGAUUUUAUGUCAUUUUUGAAUUCAUCACAAAAGACUGCUUGAAGAAUAAAGGUUUGUUAGCACACACUUUGUUCUAUGUCCAGCCUUUUCAGCAGACUGUUCUUGGCCUUUUAUCUCUGCCUUUUCCCCACCCCUUUUCUGAUGGUUUUGCUUUUUAGUUUUGUCUCUAAUUGGCUAUUUAUCAUCUGUUUCAGAGUAGGAUUCUUCAGGCUUUUUGAUCAGCAUGUUUACUGCUAUGGAUGAACAGUGGGUUGCCAAAAAGAGCUUUCCCUCUGAAUCUAUUAAUUCCUGAAGUAUGGGUUAUUUUAUCCAGAUAUAUUAUCCAGUUGGAAACAGCUAGCAGAUCCUACACCACAGAAAGCACCAGGUAUUAAGCCACACGUAGAUAUUCAGAUAUUGCAGUUGGGAGUAGAAUAACUUUGCUGGGAACUGGCAGCAAGUUGCUGUUUGAACACCUGGGUCUGAAUGUCCCCAGGUUAUGAUGAUGCACUUUCAAGGUGGAGCUUUUAUUGGGAACCAUCUCUGUGCAAGCAUACAUUCAGCAAGAAAGAUGAGAUGACAGCUUUACCUUCUAUAGUACUGCUACCGAGGAAACGAACUUCCUUUGCUUUUAAAUUUUCACAAAGUCUAGAAAAAGGGGGAAACCCUGUCAUAUUGAAGUCAGUGCAAAAAUUCUAUUUGUCUGCUCUGAAGUCUGGAGACAAAAUGCUUCCAAGUUAGGAACAUUUGUGCAAUGUCUGCAGUCCUCAUCCUGGAAAUUAUUCAUAGGUAUUCCUUGCAGAAUACACUUUACACUGCAGAAUGCACAGCAUUUAAGAUACCAGUUUUCAAAAUGCAGUUUCUCUAGUCCUCCUAUUCAUAAGGACAGCUCUAAAGAAAACAUAAGUUCAUGUCAGCUGGAGAGACAGCCAGAUGCUGAAUGUCUGAGAGGGAUGAACCGCAGUCUCCACUCAGCAGACUUCUGACUGCAAUCUGACAUUGAUACUGAAUGUCAGCAUUAUUAAUCCUCUCCCUGAUGGUCGUUUAUGUGGGAACACCUGGCUCAUAUGCUUCUCUUUCUAUCCCCAGUUCUUUCUCUACACAUCAAAAACCACCACUGUCAUCUGAGAUUCAAAACACCCCUGUCCUGUCUCUUCCUAUUCUACAUGAAACCCUCUGCACCGUGAUAGUUGUUACCACUCUUUGGGGGGGGAGGAGUAAAAUGAGAGGGACCAAGUCCUGAAUCUUCAACUCCAAAGCACUUACAAAGAUAGAAAAUCAGGCAUCAAAAUGAGCUAGCCCAGCUUUAAUAUCAGAACUGACUAUGCACUGGUUCCCACUCUCCUCAUUGCAACUGCAGGAAAACUCACACUAUGAGAGCCACAGCUCCUCACCCUGGCCUGCUGCAGCAACAGUUAUGCAUGUACAAGGGGCCAGCAGUGCCCAUGCACAGUGGGACCACCUGCAAUGGAGCAGCUGUCCUGGGGAAGGUCUUGGACACAGACCCACGCGGCUCAGGCAACCUCUGUCUGUAGUUAGACAUGCACUACUGCCUGUUUGACUGACUCCUCAGCUACAGUAAAAGCAAAAAUUGUAAUAUGGGGCUAUUAAGGCAAAUUAUCACACUCUACUCAAAGGAGGACAAAGACAGCAGAAAAGGAAAGGACCCUGACAGACAGUGACAUUAAAAAGUCAUCGUGCUCUUAUUGUAUGAUUAACUUAGACUUCAGCCUGUGGUAAAAAGCUUAGCAAUCAAGGUUUCAACACUAUUUACCAUUUUUUUCCUUUUCUUUUAAAAUGUUCCUAGCUAAUUUUGCACAAACAAGAAAACAUGAACAACACAGCAAGGCAAGAAUAACUUGUGAGUAAAACCAGAUGAACACUAACAUAUUUACAUAGUGUAAUGACUUCACUAUUAAUUCAAACAAACCCAGGCCCCAAUUCUCAGAAGACUGAGCUGAGCACAUGUGGUCCAGGAGACAAGAACAGGGUGGCUCAGACUGCACUGAUGUCGGCAGCCCCUGAGCAAGUAGGGGCUGCUCAAAGUUUCAGUCUACAAUAGCCACUGAGGGACCAUCUUUCAUUCCAGACAUCAUACUCUGCCUACACCCUCUUCUUGCUCAUGAAUUAACUAUAUAUAGAUCAGAUCUGGUCCCCAUCCUCAGAAUAAGCUGAUUCUGCAGCUAAGAAUUCUAUUUAUCCUUCUCCCUGCUACAUUUUACUGUAUCUUCUGAAAAUACAUCUUUUAAAGCACACUCUUCUGGUCUGAAAAUAAUAUUCUUUAUGUGGAGCUAUGGAAUCUCUUCCUUGUUCCUAGAUGUCUUGGAAGUUAAUCAACAUAAAGCCAUUAAAAAGCUUAAUCCCCUAUGCUUGGCACAACAUCAGUCUGAGAAUGGUUUCUUUGUAACAGCCUUUGGAAUAAAUAUCCAUUCAAGAUUUGUUUUUUCCUUAUACUGGUCACCCGCACUUUACAGUGGGUGGCCCUUUCAUUUAUCCCCAUUACUGUACUUCCACUUCUGAAGCUAAGCCAGACACAGCAACCUGAUACUACUUUUUUGUUCAUGCAACUCCAUUGUAAUGAAAAGUUCCACAUAUAACUGAUAUUUGUUGGGAAAGCCAAAGAAACAGGAACCAUGGUAAAAUUGCACCACCUUCUUGACAACUUUAAUUCUGAAAGAGUUGGGUUCUCCAGGAGAACACUUUGUUGGCAAGCAUGUUUUCACAUUUAGAUGCCUCGGAAUACAAACACAGUCAGUCCAUUCCUGAACACCUCUGGUUGGUAGUAUUUGCAUGACAGCC
This 5156-nucleotide long non-coding RNA is filed under the name Gallus gallus (chicken). Lineage: Eukaryota; Metazoa; Chordata; Aves; Galliformes; Phasianidae. The record is from RNAcentral.